Molecule: long non-coding RNA, 256 nt
Organism: Artibeus jamaicensis (Jamaican fruit-eating bat)
Lineage: Eukaryota; Metazoa; Chordata; Mammalia; Chiroptera; Phyllostomidae
Exons: 3
Source: RefSeq, a predicted model, not a curated record
CCCCAACUGGCGGGAGCUAGCUCUUUGGUUCCGAGGGCGUUCCUGACUGGACUGCUUUUCCCGGGGCACCACUUUCAUCUGGGGCUGAACCUGAAAUACCUCCAAGGCAUUGGGUCACAUGGUUAUGGAGGCCAAGGAGUCCCAUGACGUGCUGUCUGAAAGCUGCAGGACCAUUGGAGUGGACGGUGUAAAUCCCAGUCCAAGAACAGAAGAAUACAGAUGUGUCUCCUCAAUCAGCCAGGUGGGGAGCAGGUCU